RNAcentral lists this ribosomal RNA (751 nucleotides) under Sidymella angularis. RNAcentral describes it as "eukaryotic LSU rRNA". The stretch from base 482 to 751 matches the Rfam family "Eukaryotic large subunit ribosomal RNA", at positions 665 to 899 of the family's 3401-position model. Lineage: Eukaryota; Metazoa; Arthropoda; Arachnida; Araneae; Thomisidae. The record is from RNAcentral.
AAAUCCUGUGGCGAGAGGAUUCAGUCUGGAAGAGCGGUCGCGCUGUUCGGAAACAAUCGAGAAGGGCUUCCCUGGAACGGGGGCCGUCCGAGCGCGUUGGACAGCCGAGCCAGACGCAGUUGACUCUCGCCCGAAGGACGCCGCAGCCGGUCGGGCAGCGCAAGCGUGACGGCCUGAGGGGCGGACGACGGCAGGUGGCCGGUGGCGCGCCUCGUUGCGCGUCGCCGGUUGUUAGCCGGUUCCGCCAGUGGCCCGUCGCUCGACCGAGGUGUCGCUAGGCCCAUACUGGGCCCCAUCGCCUCCUCGCCCCACAAGGGGACGAUACGGGACAGGACGUCGCAGGAGAAGGCUGCCGUCCCGCCGCACUCCGAGCGAGUGGGCGGGCGAGCAGAUCGGCUCCGUUGGCGACGGCGGACCCGUCGGAGGCCGGAGGCUGGCGGUGAGUAGGUCGGUCACCCACCCGACCCGUCUUGAAACACGGACCAAGGAGUCUAACAUGUGCGCGAGUCAAUGGGUCUUGAACAGGCCCAGAGGCGCAAUGAAAGCGAAGGUCGGCCGAGCGCCGUACCGAGUUGGGAUCCCGUUCCUUUUAAAUGGUUCGGGCGCACCAACGACCCGUCCUGUGCGGUUCGCCGCUUGGGCGGAGUUUGAGCGUACACGUUGGGACCCGAAAGAUGGUGAACUAUGCCCGGACAGGACGAGGCCAGAGGAAACUCUGGUGGAGGUCCGCAGCGGUUCUGACGUGCAAAUC